GUGUGUGUUACUGUGUGACUGUGUGAGAGAGAGAGAGAGAGAGAGAGAGAGAUAGUGAGUAUUAUACAUUAAUUUUGUAUCUAUGCUAGAUUAAUCUGCGUGUCUAAGCAAAAAAUAACAAUAGUGAUCACAUGUCCUCAUCAAUAUUUAGAUAGUUCCAGUUCAAGGUUUAAGAUCAACCAAUAAGCAUGUUGUACAAAGAUCAAGGUACAGGUCAGAGUCUAACUAUUUGAACCACACCUUCUUGUGGCGCAGCUGUAAAUUAGAGGAGCAACUUUUCAGAGUAGACAUUCUUCAAGCUCACCGGGUCCGAGAGAAGACACCCCACACGCCUUCCUGUGCCUCAAGUCCUGACUGUCUUCAAAGGAAACUUUGAACAAACCUGGAAGGUUUUGUGCGGAUAAUCAGCCAACAUUGCUUGUAUCCGACAGCUAACAUUCCCAGCAGCAGUGUCUAGGUAGGUUGGGCUCCAUUCGUCCUGUUUCCUCUUUGCAAAAUGCUCUGACUAACUUGUAAACUGUCAGGUACAUGUAAUAUCAAGCACUAAAGUUAGGCAAAAAUGAAAGAUCAUGAUAAUCAUUUAUUUGGUCCUUUUGGUAAGAUUGUCAAUUAUCAUCAAAACUCAUUACAUGUAAAUAUAUAUAGCAAUUACCAAUAAUAUAUACUAGUUUAUGACAAAGAAAACAAGGAACUGAUUUAGUGUUGCCCUAGAAAAUUCUAGAAAGCUCCUUAGCACGUGAACGAUGCAUGCUUGUUCAUCUUGUAGCCAAUCACAACCCUCUGAUUUGAAUAAUGUCGUCAUGAUCUGAAAGUUCAACUCUGCUUUAGUCAGCACUUUGGCUUGUAACAACUGGUACCAGUUCAGGCAUGUUCAUCUCCUGUUAGCUUUGUUUGUGAUAUCCGGGCGUGUUGCCAAAUUUUCCAGAAUUCAAUAAACUUUUAUCUACAUUCUGCCAAGGCUGAAUCAGAUGGUCUCAUGGGUUUGCCCCCUUUUCACAGUACAAUAAAUGAGCCAUGUUUUAUUUUAUCACUGCCAAUGGCUAGAAUUUAAAAUGUCUGUUGGUUAAUUGGAAUUAUAUAAAAUGUACUGUUACUUUUACAGUAACAAUGUACCAUAUGUUAAUGCUUUGGGGAUUGCUUGCACAUAUUGCUUUCUGGUUUGUAGAAUAACAAGUACUUGAAACACUUAAAAAUUGAUUUUAGUGGUUGACAAGGAUCUAGAUUUACGAAUGUAAGUAGCUGACUUUAUUUCACCGUUAUUUUGUACAUUGUCAAGUACACAAGUACAUAGUCAAGCAUGUACUAAUGUACGUGUGUAUGUAAUUAGCUUUUUGUGGUGUUUAUGAAGUUGAUGUAUCAUUGAUUAAUCUUUAUAUGAUUAACUUUGUGUCAUUUAGGGAUGCUUUAUUAAUUACACUAAAUUCAGUGUUUUACUCACAUUAA
Long non-coding RNA from Branchiostoma belcheri (Belcher's lancelet), 1443 nucleotides. RefSeq lists it as uncharacterized. Lineage: Eukaryota; Metazoa; Chordata; Leptocardii; Amphioxiformes; Branchiostomatidae. The record is from RefSeq and is a predicted model, not a curated record. The transcript is spliced from 2 exons.